This is an RNA transcript of Drosophila eugracilis, 9333 nucleotides long. It is a transcript of the gene named FH1/FH2 domain-containing protein 3, with no coding region annotated. The record is from RefSeq and is a predicted model, not a curated record. NCBI's taxonomy places the organism in Eukaryota, Metazoa, Arthropoda, Insecta, Diptera, Drosophilidae. The transcript is spliced from 20 exons.
GACCAGACAGUUUUCCUUUGACAACGCGCCGAGUCGCACACACGAUUUUCCUCUCGGCCCGAUACGUUUCGUUUCGUUUCGUUUCGUUUCGAUAUUUUCCUGUGAGCCAAGAAAAAACUCAAGAACUGAAAACAAAAAUCGCGUUCGCAUGCGACAAAAAAUAUCUUUCAGCGAGUGUGUGAAUGUUGCUAAAUUUAUAAAUAACAGCUUAAGUUCUGCUGCUCCCAAAGUAAAUCGAAAUAAAAGCAAAAGUGAUGCGUUCGCUGUCGUGAGGAGGAGAGAAAAGGGAAAUGUAAAUGGAAAAUGGGAAAAGCAAGGCGGGGGAAAAGAAGUAAGAAAAAUAUCAACGCAUAAAUAAAGCGCCGCGUUCGCGUCCAAUUUCUGUCGCAUUUGCCGGCUGCAUUCCCAAAUAGAUCGGCCCGCUAUAGCCUAUAGCUGGUCGAAUGCCCGUGGGCAACGCAGUAUAUAUCCCCAACCUGGCCGGUGCGUGCCGGUGGAUUAUGUAAAGUGGCACACGGCCGAUCUCGGAAUAUCGUCGAGCGCGAAAAAAAAAGAAAAAACCAAAACAACCAAGGAAUGAAAGUUUAACCAAAAACAAAAGGAAAAUUAAAAUGAAAAUAAAAUGAAAUAAAUGAAAAGAAGGGAAAAACAGAGAGUGUCGUUGAGGAUCCGUAGAAAUUUGUCGCACGCGCGCGUUUUCAGUAAAUGCAACUAAUUUAUUUUGCAUCUAUUGCAAUUGAGUUGAGAAUCGAGAAUCGAGAACCGAGAAUUCGCCGAGUGCCGAUCCGCCAGAUACGUUUUCGUAAUUGUCGUCAGUGGUUCGAGUUGCUCCGUUUCGAUCGUCGUACGCCUCAGUGUCCGCCAGAUUGGAUUACCACCCAGUCCACACGAGCCCAAAAUAAUUUACACAAAAUUUUCGUGAAAUUGGUAGGGCCAAAGAUAUAUGUAUUGUGACUGAAUUUUGAUUAACGAAAUCGAGGAUCGUUUGCCAAAAGCAACGCAAUGUCGUCCUACCGCAGUUAUACUCCUUGGAAAACUAGCUUGGGCAGUUCCUACAAGCCUGCCAGCUCUUCGUACGGCUCAGCAGGAGACUCCACAUCGCGCUACACUUCCCUGGCCACGCCUAGCUCCUACAGACCCUCGUUCUCUGGAGGAACAUACCGCCUCAAAAGGGAUCCACCACCGCCAACCACCACAACUCCAGUUACCAGCUAUGUCAGUCGCUAUGCCAAGGCAGAGCCCAAGGAGGCAGCUCCAACCGAGCGAACCAGUCCCGUUAAGAGGUAUACGGGUGCGUCUACCAGUUCAAUGGGGAAAUACGGUCGUUCAAGAGAUCCCAGUCCGGUGGCCUUGGAACACACAAAUCGCAACAAAUCUCGGGAUCCGAGUCCCGUAAUGGAUAGCGCCAGGAGUAAAUUGGGUUCUACAUAUCGUGGAGGUAAUGCCACCACGUCCUCGUCAUCCUCUUCGGCAACCAGAAAUGCUUACAGCAGUCGCUAUGGAGCAGGUUCUCGGGGAAUCUCAGGGAAUGGAAGUGCCUUAUCUUACUUGACCACCAGUGACUUUCAUGCCAGAACUGCCAGCAGGGCCAAGGCGAGCAGAGAAAGGGAGCGGGAGAAAGAGAAGGAAAAGGAGCUGGAGAUCGUGGAGAAAUCCGCAGAUGCCUCCAAUGGCAAGGAUAAGUCUCCUGAAAAGCAGCAGGAAAAACAAACGACAGAGACAGAAGCAGAAGCCAAUGAAACCUUCGUCACCAUUUCCGUAGUGACCCGAGCCACUUCACCCACUUUGCCGGGCAGCACCACCGUACAACGAACCCGUCGCAUUGAUCCAGCCAAAACCAUCGAGAAGACCAUCCAAAGAUCCACAAAAAGACGGGAGACAACGGAUCAGGAGAUACAGUCAGAUCGAAUGGAUGACUCCACUCGAUAUCUUCGUUAUAGUGCUGGCAGUAGCAUAAGUUCGACCUACAGUCCACAUAGGGAUAGGAUUAGUAGCCUCCGGUACAGUGCUAGUCCGUUGAACAGUUCAGGAUCAGGAAAGUCCAGUCCUAUGGGUGAGGCUAAACCGAUUCAAUCGAUACCAGAAUCUGUAUCACCAGCUAGGACCAAUGGUUCCAUUAGCUCUGCCAAAUCCUCAGAAGCUUUAUCACCCCCAAGGACCAUCAAUGGGUCAGUUAGUUCAGGAAAAUCACCUGAAGCCCUCUCCCCACCGAGAAGUAAUGGCUCUAUAAGCUCAUCCAAGUCUCCAGAAGCUGUAUCUCCACCAAGGACGAAUGGAUCUUUGAGCUCAUCGAAAUCCACAAAGUCCAAGCUAUCACCGCCGAAGGCCAUACGCUUGAACUCCCGCCAAUCGUCAGUGGAGAACCUUGUUAACAAACCACCUGCACCACCCAGCAAGGCGGAUUCACCCACCAAGACAUGCAGUUCCAGUUCUGGUAGCUCAGCUGUGAAAUGGCCCAACAAGGACUUCCGUAAGUCCUCCUUAAAUGUGGGUCCAACGGAUAGGCCACGAAAGUCACGAACUCCUAGUAGUGGAGGGGAGUCGGAAGACCUACCCAAUGGCAGUAGCCUCGAACGAUCACCAAGUGCGGGAUCCGAAGGCAGUUUAGCCUCUGGUAGCUCCUCAAAGAAAUCAACAAAGCUAAGCAAUGGCAAGGUGCCAGGAAGUGCGAAACCAAAGAGCCAUAAAUCCUGCAGUGAAACGACCACUGGCAACUCAUCCUCGGCCAACGCCUCCGCUUCUGAUAGCGAUCAGCGGGUCAAGACCGUGAAAAAGCAGGCCAAAAAGAAGACCACCAAAGAGGGCAGUGCUGGCAAGGUUGCCGCCGCCCACAAGUCACAAAGCACCACUGAAUCACCGCCCGCCGUGGCCACUGAUGUGAUGCCAGCGACACAGACAAGACUGAAGAAGCUCUCGGCGGUAUCGAAUUUUUUCGCUAGCCGUCAGCAAGACGCAAAUAACGAGCCGAUCUUCCUUGAAAGCUCCGAGAGCUCGGGCGAACCGGAGGCUCUUUCGCUGCCAGUGAUCUCGGGCAUAUCGGCCAUCUCGAAGAUCUCGAAAAUCUCUGGGAUCAGUCUGACUACAGAUUUGCGAACGAACGAACCGCGAACGACGCCAUCGAGCGAAGCGAAACACACAUCCCAAACGAAUUCUCUAAGUUCGAGCACACGUUGUCCACGAGAAACCACUACAGGAACAGGAACGGGAACAAGAUUACCCACCAGCACGAGUAGCACCACCCAGGACACGAGUCUCACGACCACUGCGAGUUUAACGACCUCCGAGCAGGACGAUCCCAGUUGGUGGCAGGAUACCAGCCUGCAGAUAAACACGGCCUCUGCUUUGGACCAAAAUAAUCGAGGAGAGAUGCCUCCUUACCGGUUGAGACACAUAGACUCUGGGGAGGAGCAGGCCUGGUGGCUGCGCCACGAUGAGAAUGGCGAUGAUGAUGACACACUGGCGGAGGAGACUCUGAAUCCCCUAGAUGACGAUGCCCAGGAGCCAAGCAAAGGUACCUGGUGGAGUCAGGAGGAUCAGGACUCCAGCAGUAAGGUGAAACUGAUGCCCAGGAGCAGGAUAACACCGGAGAAGGAUGCCUGGUGGCUGCAGGAUGAGGAGGAGGCUGUGGAAACUCCCAGGGAGAAUGGUGAUCUGAACAACAACAGCGAGCCGCAUGUAGAGGUGACCUUAAGAUUACCCUCAAAUGGCAGCCAAAGGAGCUCGAAGGGAACUCCUUCAAAGAGCGGCAGCAAUUCCAAGAGUGGUGGCUCUAAUCCUUGGUGGCUAUCAGGACCCGCCAGAAAGAUGUUCAAUGUGCAGCGGGUGGAGUCCGGCGAAAGAGCCUGGUGGCAGGAAGAUCCCGAAGAGACCCCUCAAGAGGAAAAGGAGAACGAGCCCCCGCCAGUGAAGCCACCAACUCCCCCACCACGAAUCAUCAAGCACUGGGAGUCCGGUGAGCGUGCCUGGUGGUUACAGGAAGACACAGAGAACACACAAAUCCCCAAUCAGCCAAGCAGCGAUGAUGAGGAACAGCCAGUGGUGGUGGUAUGUCAGCAGGAUUCUAGGGAUGAAGUAGAUCUGAGGCUGGCACCACCCACGUUGGUAUCUCAGGAGCUGAGUACUUCCUUUAACUUCGACGCCUACUCCGAACGACCGCCGCCACUGGGUCAAUGCGCCAGUCCCGUCCGCUGCCCCUCGCCCUAUGACAACAUUCCAAGGUCACAAGUGCAAGAACCACCACCACCAUCUCCUCCCACUUUGACCACCCUGCAACCACGCUUUUCACCGCAAGCACGACGGGCCGGAGAAAAGCUCUUCAUCUCACGGCAUCAGAACAUCGAUGAGCUACUGGGCGGUGCUUGCCGCCCCCUCAGUCCACUCUUUUAUGGAAACAAUAAUCCUACGGAGGCUGAGCUGACCCCGUUAGCCAGCAAGAACAUGUUCCUGCUCGAGGAGGUGACACCCGACCAGGUGCGAAUCCACGACAGCACCGCCCAACUGCCGGUCAUCCAGAGAAUGCAGCGCGAUGUCGAGUGGUUGGAGAACGGUAGCAACUUUUACGAGCCACCCAAACAACAACAACAACAUCAACAACAACAACAACAACAGCAGCAGCCGCGCAGGAUCGAUGAUGCAGCCAUUCAGGUGUACAAGGAUGGCGACUAUGGAGCCUACCUGGAUCUGGAGUCAUCUCUGGCCGAGCAGACCGAGGAAAUCGAGGGACUCAACGUGAGCCGCAAGAACUCACUGGUGGUGCGAACGCAGUUAAAUGUGCGCGUCCAUGCUAUAAUUGAGAAACUUCUUUCCUCGGAGGGCAGUGACCUGAGGCGUGCGCUGUUCUCGCUGAAGCAGGUGUUCCAGGAGGAUAAGGAUCUGGUGCACGCCUUCGUGGCCCUCGGCGGCCUCAAUUGCCUGGUGCGCGUGGGCAAUUGUGCGGAUCAAAACUAUCAGAAUUACAUUCUGCGAGCCCUUGGUCAGGUCAUGCUCUAUGUGGACGGUAUGAACGGCGUGAUGAAGCAUGAGCCGACGAUGCAGUGGCUGUACUCACUGAUUGCCUCCAAUUACCGAUCCGUGGUGAAGACCGCCCUCAAGUUGUUGCUGGUCUUCGUGGAGUACGCCGAGUCCAACUGCUAUGUACUGGUCAAUGCCAUUCACGCGGUGGACGCUUCCCAGGGCACUCUGCCCUGGUCGAAUAUAAUGAGACUGCUUAAGGACUAUGAUAAUGCUGAUGCCGAGUUGGUCAUCUAUGCCACUUCGCUGAUUAACAAAACCCUUGCUGGACUGAAUGAUCAGGAUAGUUUCUAUGACGAGAGCGAUCUUCUGGAGCAGCAGGGCAUGGAGACUGUGAUCCAGCGAUAUAUGUCCAAGCCAGGCACUGAUUUAGAUCUUCUCGAUCAGUUGCAACUAUACGAGGCUGUGUUGAAAUUUGAGGAUGGUGAGUCGGAUGGACAGCGUUUGCCGCAGAAUUCAAUGCGUAAAACGCAGCGUUACCGUCCGGGAACAAACACCACCGAAAGACGUAAGUCACGUCGACACAGCACUGACAACAGCCCUGCCCCCAUCACAAAGGUCCUGCCCACCACUGUCCUUCGAAUGACACCCACCCAAGCUACUGUAGAUGAGGAUAGUUCUGGGUCUACAAAUUCAACGGAGUUUAGCGGAGGACUCUUCAAUGAAAAGAAACCUCGCGAUGGAGCUGGUGUAACGCCAGGACUUCGAAGAAGACGAGAGCGGGCGGAGAGGCACAAGAGUUUCCUCAAGGAGCAACAGGAAGCGGCGGCCAAUGGAAUCUUUGCUGCUCUCGAGCAGCGAGAAGGUUUGGGCCAAAUAGUAACCGCCAUACCCGCCACCAUCCAAACCGGCGACAGUCCACCUGAAUCACUGCAACAUGAGGUGGUGCCGCCGUGCAACAACAUCAGCGGUAUCACCAGCAUAAGUAACAACAAUAUGAGCAACCUGAGCUGCAAUGACACGCCGAACAAUAGCCUCUUACUGAUGAGUCCCAGCAAGCAAUUGCUCACCGGAAGCCACAGCAUUUCCAUCAUAAACAACAGCUUCGACAAGGCGAGCAAUAAUAAUCAAAGCGAGUUCCUCACGAAGAAGAACCUAUUCCGGGAACGAAACUCAACUGUGAUCAGUGGUAUUAUGAAGAAUAUCCAGCAAACCGAUAGUGCCUAUAAGAAGUACGAGAACGAAGCCAAUCGGCUGAAUAACUACUAUAGUCAGUCGCCGAAGCAUCAGAUCCAUCAGCCCAAUCAGAUUCAGACCACGCCGGAAGACCUUUUGAGUCCCAAGAAAACGCUGAAUGCCUCCGGGUUUGAUUUUACGCCUGCUCCCCUGAGUUCCACACCGGUUAAAUGUGAAGUCUUGCCGGAACCGGAGCCAUUGAGUCCGGUUAGGAAACCCGUUGCAGCCAAUCCACCACCACCACCUCCUCCACCGCCACCGCCGCCACCACCGCCUCCUGGCUGGUGGCAUGUCCCCAUCUACAACAGCCCGCCGCCAGCUCGAACCCUAACCAGUACUAACCCAGAGCUGCUGCCGCAUCCUGUGGAUCCUUCAGAUUUGGAAAGCGAGGACAAGCAGCUUCUGCUGCAGCUGAAGAGGGACCACACUGUCAAGGAUCUCACCCAGAAACUAAGCAAUCUGCCCAUGAGCCCGACCCAGGAUCCGGCGAAUCGAGCUCUCGUCGGCGACAUGUCCGGUCUCAUUUCGAAAGCCAAAGAGGGUCUGGCCAAGAGCAAGAGCAAAGGGGAGAUAUCGAGAUCUUCUAGUGUGGAUCAGGAUAUAAAGAAGUCUGAGCCCAAGAAGUCGGAAAACGAACUUCACUGGGAGGAACUGGUUAGAAAUAUGACAAGGCCCUUAAAUCUCUGCGAUCUGGACUUUACGGAUCUGCGGGAUGAUGACGAGAAAGAUGUGCUGGCUCCUCGAAGUCUGGGAGCUGGUAUUCCUCCACCUCCCCCUCCACUGGGAGGAGCCAUUGCCCCACCACCCAUGAUGCCUCCCAGUCUGGCACCUCCUCCUAUGUUUGGAUAUGGUGGAAGCCUCACAAACAGUGUUAACUCGCUGAAUGGAUCUAUCAAUGGGGAGCUGGUCAACGGCAAUAACACCAUCAAAAAGAAUAAGAAGACGGUCAAGCUCUUCUGGAAGGAAGUUCGCGAAGACAUGAUACCGCAGGUGGUGGGCAAGACCAUUUGGGAUGAGUUGCCCGAUGCCAACGUGGAUACCCAGAAGCUCGAACAUCUCUUUGAGUCUCGGGCCAAAGACUUGAUGACCAAGAAACAACAAGAGUUGAAUAAGAGCAAAGAGAUCAUCGUGCUCGACCACAAGCGCUCCAAUGCCAUCAAUAUUGCAAUCACCAAGCUGCCACCUCCGAGGGCUAUUAAGACGGCCAUCCUCAAGAUGGAUGCCACUGUGGUCACGCGGGAGGGCAUUGACAAGCUGCUCAAUAUGCUGCCAACCGACGAGGAGCGUGGCAAGAUCCAGGAGGCCCAGUUAUCCAAUCCAGAGCUACCCCUGGGCAGUGCUGAGCAGUUCCUGCUAACCCUGGCAUCCAUUUCAGAGUUGGAAGCCCGCCUGAAGCUGUGGGCCUUCCGUUUGGACUUCGACAACAGUGAAAAAGAGAUUGCGGAACCCCUGAUGGAUCUCAAGCAAGGCAUUGAGAUCCUGCGUCAGAAUCGCACCUUCCGCAGCAUCCUCUCCACCCUGCUGUCCGUGGGCAUUUUCCUGAACGGAGCUCCUGUCAAGGGAUUCCAGAUCGAGUAUCUGGCCAAGGUUCCGGAAGUGAAGGACACAGUGCAUAAGCACUCGCUGCUGCACCAUCUCUGCCACAUGGUUAUGGAAUCUAGCAGUGAUACCAGUGAUCUCUACUCAGAGAUUGGACCCAUAACCCGUGCCUCCAAAGCGGAUUUCACAGAUUUGGCUCACAAUCUGAAUCAGCUAGAGGCGGAAUGUAAGGCCUGCUGGGAUCGCCUGAAACUAAUUGCCAAACACGACUGCCCGCCACCGUUAAAGCAGAAACUGGUGGAUUUCCUGGCCGAUUGUGCCGAGCGUAUCAUAAUCCUGCAAAUCGUCCAUCGGCGGGUAAUGAAUCGUUAUCGAAAGUUCCUUUUGUGGCUGGGAAUGCCGCAGCACAGUGUGGCGGAGUCGCGACCCAACGAAUUCAGUCGGACACUCUCUGAAUUCGCCUUGGAGUACCGAACCACCCGGGAACGUGUGCAGCAGCAGCUGGAGAAGAAGGCCAAUCACCGCGAGCGGAACAAGACUCGAGGAAAGCUGAUCAUAGACAUGGCCAAGUUCAAGACCAAAGAUGACGUGGCCGAUGAUGAGUUGAAAAAACUUCUAGACACAUCGAGUGCUGACCAGGCCGAUGGCACUCUCACCUGGCGAAGACGACGAGCGGAACAGCUGCGUUCACCCAUUGCCCGGCAUAGUGAGGAGCAGUUCACCGACGGUGACGAUGAGAUAUUGGAAUCUCUGGUCAAGACCGCCACCAAGGCCCCAGGAACCCGGACAACGCCCAGGGAGCGGAAACGAACGCGACAUGCGGACCGCAAAUCAUUGAAGCGCAGCCGCACGCGCGAAGGAUUCACAGUUGAAAGAGCACCGUCGCCGUAGAACCGUUAACCGUUACUGUUAACCGAAUCCGUAACCGUUACCGUUACCAAAAGAACAGCCAACUGUUUUUUAGGUUUUACCUUUUUUGUACGUCGCACGCUGAAAAACGGUCUGACCGAAGAGGAGAAACAGCACGUGGCUGCCUUAAUACAAACCUAUUAGGAUUAGGAUAUAUAACUAUUGUAGAUACCCGCAUCACAUCCGAGAUAAACCCAUCCCCAGUGACGUCACAAGUCGGGCACUACGCGCACAGACUGAAAUUGGCGAUCUCAGGCGAGCAAGCGAACCCAGAAAACCCCGUUUUAUAACGACAACGUGCGCAACAUUAGUACUUGUUUUUAUUUUUAUUUUUUUAAUUUGUAUUUUAUGGCUAAAAUGCCAAGGCAGCAAAAAGAUCACCAACAACAACAACUGCAACGAAAAUGUCCUUAAACAAAAGCGUUUUUCAUCGUGUUUUUCUGUUAUUUAAUUUUUUGUUUUUGCUUCAGCUAAGUAUUAUUAAUUAAACGUAAUUCAAUAAACCUGUAUUAGUAGUUGGAAAAACGAUUUUAAUGUUAGAAUUUUGAUCGGAACAAAUUUUCAAUAUCCUGAACCGCGUCAUUCAAUUUGUACCAAAAUUCGAGACGAUUUGUGCUUUCUAAAUUAACUUAAAUUUAUAGUUAUGUCUAACUUAAUUACGAAAAUCAAUAAAUAAAACAUAUUUAUUACACACGAAAA